GGAUGUGAGGGCGAUCUGGCUGCAACAUCUGCCACCUCAUUGACCUCCAGGGUUGAUUUGGCUGCUUUGGCUGGCUAGGUGGGUGUCCCACUUCCUCCCUCACCAUUCCAUGUGCAUCCCUCUCAAAAUGCAUGCUUGGUGGAAGAGGAUGACCAUCCCAGAUAGAAGAUUUUUUAAAGCAUUGUCUGAAUUCACCAUCCCAUUGCAAAGCUGAUUAUUU
RNAcentral lists this small nuclear RNA (220 nucleotides) under Pogona vitticeps (central bearded dragon). Its description in RNAcentral is "7SK RNA (ENSPVIG00000025358.1)". The stretch from base 1 to 179 matches the Rfam family "7SK RNA". Rfam says of the family: 7SK was discovered as an abundant small nuclear RNA in the mid-70s but a possible function has only recently been suggested. Two independent studies have found that 7SK RNA binds the CDK9/cyclin T complex (known as elongation factor P-TEFb). Lineage: Eukaryota; Metazoa; Chordata; Lepidosauria; Squamata; Agamidae. The record is from RNAcentral.